Molecule: small nucleolar RNA, 75 nt
Filed under: Sphenodon punctatus (tuatara)
Lineage: Eukaryota; Metazoa; Chordata; Lepidosauria; Sphenodontia; Sphenodontidae
Description: Small nucleolar RNA SNORD126 (ENSSPUG00000001181.1)
Rfam family: Small nucleolar RNA SNORD126
Source: Rfam by way of RNAcentral
GGUCAGCUGUGAUGAAUUUCAUGUUGUCUGUGUUUCACCUGAUUACCCUGAUUACACACAUGUUCUGAGCAGACC